Molecule: ribosomal RNA, 465 nt
Filed under: Vreelandella stevensii
Lineage: Bacteria; Pseudomonadati; Pseudomonadota; Gammaproteobacteria; Oceanospirillales; Halomonadaceae
Description: partial 16S ribosomal RNA
Rfam family: Bacterial small subunit ribosomal RNA
Source: RNAcentral
CCUACGGCGGGCUGCAGUGGGGAAUAUUGGACAAUGGGCGAAAGCCUGAUCCAGCCAUGCCGCGUGUGUGAAGAAGGCCUUCGGGUUGUAAAGCACUUUCAGUGGGGAAGAAAGCCUUGGGGCUAAUACCCUCGAGGAAGGACAUCACCCACAGAAGAAGCACCGGCUAACUCCGUGCCAGCAGCCGCGGUAAUACGGAGGGUGCGAGCGUUAAUCGGAAUUACUGGGCGUAAAGCGCGCGUAGGCGGUCUGAUAAGCCGGUUGUGAAAGCCCCGGGCUCAACCUGGGAACGGCAUCCGGAACUGUCAGGCUAGAGUGCAGGAGAGGAAGGUAGAAUUCCCGGUGUAGCGGUGAAAUGCGUAGAGAUCGGGAGGAAUACCAGUGGCGAAGGCGGCCUUCUGGACUGACACUGACGCUGAGGUGCGAAAGCGUGGGUAGCAAACAGGAUUAGAUACCCCGGUAGUC